RNAcentral lists this ribosomal RNA (497 nucleotides) under uncultured bacterium. RNAcentral describes it as "partial 16S ribosomal RNA". It matches the Rfam family "Bacterial small subunit ribosomal RNA", at positions 28 to 507 of the family's 1533-position model. The record is from RNAcentral.
GAUGAACGCUGGCGGCGUGCCUAAUACAUGCAAGUCGAGCGAACAGACGAGGAGCUUGCUCCUCUGACGUUAGCGGCGGACGGGUGAGUAACACGUGGAUAACCUACCUAUAAGACUGGGAUAACUUCGGGAAACCGGAGCUAAUACCGGAUAAUAUAUUGAACCGCAUGGUUCAAUAGUGAAAGACGGUUUUGCUGUCACUUAUAGAUGGAUCCGCGCCGCAUUAGCUAGUUGGUAAGGUAACGGCUUACCAAGGCAACGAUGCGUAGCCGACCUGAGAGGGUGAUCGGCCACACUGGAACUAAAACACGGUCCAGACUCCUACGGGAGGCAGCAGUAGGGAAUCUUCCGCAAUGGGCGAAAGCCUGACGGAGCAACGCCGCGUGAGUGAUGAAGGUCUUCGGAUCGUAAAACUCUGUUAUUAGGGAAGAACAAAUGUGUAAGUAACUAUGCACGUCUUGACGGUACCUAAUCAGAAAGCCACGGCUAACUACGUG